RNAcentral lists this ribosomal RNA (497 nucleotides) under uncultured bacterium. RNAcentral describes it as "partial 16S ribosomal RNA". It matches the Rfam family "Bacterial small subunit ribosomal RNA", at positions 28 to 507 of the family's 1533-position model. The record is from RNAcentral.
GAUGAACGCUGGCGGCGUGCCUAAUACAUGCAAGUCGAGCGAACAGAUGAGGAGCUUGCUCCUCUGACGUUAGCGGCGGACGGGUGAGUAACACGUGGAUAACCUACCUAUAAGACUGGGAUAACUUCGGGAAACCGGAGCUAAUACCGGAUAAUAUAUUGAACCGCAUGGUUCAAUAGUGAAAGACGGUUUUGCUGUCCCUUAUAGAUGGAUCCGCGCCGCAUUAGCUAGUUGGUAAGGUAACGGCUUACCAAGGCAACGAUGCGUAGCCGACCUGAGAGGGUGAUCGGCCACACUGGAACUGUGACACGGUCCAGACUCCUACGGGAGGCAGCAGUAGGGAAUCUUCCGCAAUGGGCGAAAGCCUGACGGAGCAACGCCGCGUGAGUGAUGAAGGUCUUCGGAUCGUAAAACUCUGUUAUUAGGGAAGAACAAAUGUGUAAGUAACUAUGCACGUCUUGACGGUACCUAAUCAGAAAGCCACGGCUAACUACGUG